AUCGCACUCGCGAAAGUGUUUGAGCCGGAAGAAAUCGAAAAUAAAUUGUCUCAAUGCUCGAAUCCGGUCCUCAUCACGAGAUAAAUAGUCAAAGGGGGAUAUUGGGAUGCAGUUGAUCAUAUAAUUAAAAAGCGAAGAGCGAUCUUUCGGUCCUUUCAUCUAAUGUUGGAUGUUCAUUAAGAGGUUCAUUGAGAAAAUGCGCGAAUUUUCAAAAACAUAUCCUACCAAUUCUAGAACAUACGAGCACCUACGAGACUAGAUAGCACUUGGGAUUACUAGAAUUGCCUGAUGUGGAGGUAAAGCGUGAUAUACAAGAGGCAAGAAAAGAAACCUACAUUGUCGUAAACUAUGUGAGAAUUCAGCGAGUAAAAAUGUUGGAGGCAAGAAAAGAAACCUACAUUGUCAGCGUGGCUGCCCUUAUUGCAGUUCCGCCUGUUGCUAGGGCGUAACACUCAAGGAUAUACCACAUCGAUUUCUUAGAUAAUUCAGACGUCUGAAAAGUGCGAUUACGUUUAUGCGUUGAAUGGCUAGAUUAAUACAGGCGAGAUUUGCCUAAAGGAAUGACAAGCUUCUUUUGCGGCAGGAAAGCCUGAUUAAGCUUGGCUUAGAGGUUUCUUUAUAUCCUUUAAACCUGUUUUGUUUUGCUCCAUCGCCAGAAUGGAGCUAUUUGGAGCAAAAACCCAUCCUAUUGAAUAAAUAUUGCUCGAAACUGUUUAUUUUAUUCAAGAGAAAUUGGAAAUCACUACCGUAGAUAAAUAGAAUCUAAUAUAAAUAGUAAACGAAUCACGCAGGAAAUAGGUGCACGAAUAUGUGCACGAUAGGUCAAACAUUGAUAAAAAUCGACAAGUAUUCCGUAAGUUUGAAUUGGUGUUUGGCUUUCAGAAAUGCUAUUACAAAUACAAAAUACGAAUAUCAUGGCGAUUUAACCACUUCUCAGUGUUUCUAUUAUGAUAACCGUUUCUUAUUUAACACCAUUACUAAUUGCCCAGCUGUAAACCAAACACACUCUCUCUCAGCUAUUCAGUCAUUUCCUUUCUUGCAAGAAAACCCUCGACAUCACAGACGAUUAAGAUGAUUUAUCAGUUGCCUUUUGAGAAUAAUGUGUUUAAAUCGCAUAUCAGGCAAAUCUGUGUCUCUUGGCAGAAGCUGUUGAGAGGUCACGUUGAGAGUCCAUUAGUCAAAAGGCAAAGGAUUAUAGGAAAUACUUGUUUGCAAGAAUUCUGGCGCCUCGGGCAAUACAGCUCGUUGGAUGUGUUCUAGUUUUGAUAGCAUGUAGUUUCCCAUACGUCAAAUUCUUACCAAUCGAGGUUUCCUUUGGUGUAACCAAAGCACUUCACUUGUGCAGUAUAAUAGCGUGUAUUAAAAAAACGUUAAGCUUG
Long non-coding RNA from Nematostella vectensis (starlet sea anemone), 1379 nucleotides. RefSeq lists it as uncharacterized. NCBI's taxonomy places the organism in Eukaryota, Metazoa, Cnidaria, Anthozoa, Actiniaria, Edwardsiidae. The transcript has 3 exons. The record is from RefSeq and is a predicted model, not a curated record.